ACGAACCGUCCAAACGUUAUUCGGAAUCACUGGGCUUAAAGGGUACGUAGGCGGCGCUGUCAGUCGGGUGUGAAAGCCCACGGCUCAACCGUGGAAUUGCGCCCGAUACUGCAGUGCUUGAGGGAGACAGAGGUAAGCGGAACUGAUGGUGUAGCGGUGAAAUGCGUAGAGAUCAGGAAGAACACCGGUGGCGAAAGCGCUCUGCUAGGCCGCAACUGACACUGAGGGACGAAAGCUAGGGGAGCGAAUGGGA
This 253-nucleotide ribosomal RNA is filed under the name uncultured prokaryote. RNAcentral's name for it is "partial 16S ribosomal RNA". It matches the Rfam family "Bacterial small subunit ribosomal RNA", at positions 525 to 777 of the family's 1533-position model. The record is from RNAcentral.